This 22-nucleotide unclassified non-coding RNA is filed under the name Mus musculus (house mouse). RNAcentral's name for it is "oocyte_clustered_small_RNA7257". Lineage: Eukaryota; Metazoa; Chordata; Mammalia; Rodentia; Muridae. The record is from RNAcentral.
ACCAACGGCCUUUCCUCCCAUU